This is a non-coding RNA of Podarcis lilfordi (Lilford's wall lizard), 107 nucleotides long. NCBI's taxonomy places the organism in Eukaryota, Metazoa, Chordata, Lepidosauria, Squamata, Lacertidae. The record is from the annotation of a GenBank genome assembly.
GCACCUUAAAGACCAAGUUUGUUCUUGUAUAAGCUUUCGUGUGCAUGCAUCUGAGUGCAUGCACAUGAAAGCUUAUACCAGAACAAACUCAGUUGGUCUAUAAGGUG